This is a long non-coding RNA of Galleria mellonella (greater wax moth), 737 nucleotides long. RefSeq lists it as uncharacterized. The record is from RefSeq and is a predicted model, not a curated record. NCBI's taxonomy places the organism in Eukaryota, Metazoa, Arthropoda, Insecta, Lepidoptera, Pyralidae. The transcript is spliced from 2 exons.
CGUAGAGAGUAUUAUAUUCCUUGUACUUAACAUUCCAGAGGCGCACUUUUUGUAUUUGUUUAUUCUCUUUUAAAAAUAAUUAAUAAAAUUAACGUAACUUUACCAACGUUUUAUAAGUUUGGAUGUAUCUAUCAAAUACGUCCACGCCGUCAUUUGACUGACAGUAUCCCGAUGACACUUAUCUCCUUCACAAUAGCAGCCUCAACUAGAAAGAGAGUAGUCUCGCAAAGAUUUGUUGCCACUGAAGAGCACCGAGUAGAGACAGAACAAAUUUUGAUAGAGAAUCAGACAACACUAGUUCAUAUCUUAUAGCUAAUGAAUGAGAUAUGACUAAAUUAAAGUCAGCCAUUGUACGAUUUAAUUAAAAAUUUUUUAAAAAAUGUCAAAUAAUUUUUAUUCAAUUAAAUUUAAAAUAUUAUAAAUGGUAAUUCUUUAUGAUUCUACCAUCCAUUGUGAAGAAGGGGAGAAACCUCAAUUUUGGUUUUUAAAAUACUAAUAGAUUUUACAAUAAUACAUUUCUAAAAAUAUACACUGCCAAACAUAACAAGAGUUAUUGGAAUUAUUAGUUAAAUCAAGUUCAUUAUUGAAAAUAUAAGAUUAAAUUAUGUCAUUUAAUAGUCAUUAGUAAUUUUGAAAUAUAAGUUUCAUCUUAUAUAAUUUUCAAAUAAAAACACAAUUACAAUAAAAUUUUAUAAUUAUAAACUUGUUUCAAUUUCAAAUAAAUAAUUUUUAAUGAA